Molecule: ribosomal RNA, 585 nt
Filed under: uncultured bacterium
Lineage: Bacteria
Description: partial 16S ribosomal RNA
Rfam family: Bacterial small subunit ribosomal RNA
Source: RNAcentral
UGGGGAAUUUUGGACAAUGGGCGAAAGCCUGAUCCAGCAAUGCCGCGUGUGUGAAGAAGGCCUUCGGGUUGUAAAGCACUUUUGUCCGGAAAGAAAUCCUUGGCUCUAAUACAGUCGGGGGAUGACGGUACCGGAAGAAUAAGCACCGGCUAACUACGUGCCAGCAGCCGCGGUAAUACGUAGGGUGCAAGCGUUAAUCGGAAUUACUGGGCGUAACGCGUGCGCAGGCGGUUUGCUAAGACCGAUGUGAAAUCCCCGGGCUCAACCUGGGAACUGCAUUGGCGACUGGCAGGCUAGAGUAUGGCAGAGGGGGGUAGAAUUCCACGUGUAGCAGUGAAAUGCGUAGAGAUGUGGAGGAAUACCGAUGGCGAAGGCAGCCCCCUGGGCCAAUACUGACGCUCAUGCACGAAAGCGUGGGGAGCAAACAGGAUUAGAUACCCUGGUAGUCCACGCCCUAAACGAUGUCAACUAGUUGUUGGGGAUUCAUUUCCUUAGUAACGUAGCUAACGCGUGAAGUUGACCGCCUGGGGAGUACGGUCGCAAGAUUAAAACUUAAAGGAAUUGACGGGGUCAUAGCUGUUUCCU